RNAcentral lists this ribosomal RNA (1171 nucleotides) under uncultured Acremonium. RNAcentral's name for it is "eukaryotic LSU rRNA". The stretch from base 546 to 1171 matches the Rfam family "Eukaryotic large subunit ribosomal RNA", at positions 1 to 649 of the family's 3401-position model. Lineage: Eukaryota; Fungi; Ascomycota. The record is from RNAcentral.
AAGUCGUAACAAGGUCUCCGUUGGUGAACCAGCGGAGGGAUCAUUACAAAACGAGUGCUUCGGCUCUCCAACCCAUUGUGAACAUACCUAUCGUUCCCUCGGCGGGCUCAGCGCGCGGCCGGCCUCCGGGCCACCGGGCGUCCGCCGGGGACAACCAAACCCGAAUUUUUCGUGUAUAUCUGAGGGGCGAAAGCCCGAAAACAAAAUGAAUCAAAACUUUCAACAACGGAUCUCUUGGCUCUGGCAUCGAUGAAGAACGCAGCGAAAUGCGAUAAGUAAUGUGAAUUGCAGAAUUCAGUGAAUCAUCGAAUCUUUGAACGCACAUUGCGCCCGCCGGCACUCCGGCGGGCAUGCCUGUCCGAGCGUCAUUUCAACCCUCAGGGCCCCCUUUCGGGGGCGGCACCUGGUUCUGGGGAUCAGCGGCCCUUCGGGGCCCCUGUCCCCCAAAUUGAGUGGCGGUCGCGCCGCAGCCUCCCCUGCGUAGUAGCACACCUCGCACCGGAGAGCGGCUCGGCCACGCCGUAAAACCCCCAAUUUUUACAGGUUGACCUCGGAUCAGGUAGGAAUACCCGCUGAACUUAAGCAUAUCAAUAAGCGGAGGAAAAGAAACCAACAGGGAUUGCCUCAGUAACGGCGAGUGAAGCGGCAACAGCUCAAAUUUGAAAUCUGGCCGCAAGGUCCGAGUUGUAAUUUGCAGAGGAUGCUUUUGGCGAGGUGCCUUCCGAGUUCCCUGGAACGGGACGCCAUAGAGGGUGAGAGCCCCGUACGGUAGGACCACCGAGCCUUUGUAAAGCUCCUUCGACGAGUCGAGUAGUUUGGGAAUGCUGCUCUAAAUGGGAGGUGUACGUCUUCUAAAGCUAAAUACCGGCCAGAGACCGAUAGCGCACAAGUAGAGUGAUCGAAAGAUGAAAAGCACUUUGAAAAGAGGGUUAAAAAGUACGUGAAAUUGUUGAAAGGGAAGCAUUCAUGACCAGACUUGGGCUUGGUUGAACAUCCGGCGUUCUCGCCGGUGCACUCUGCCAGUCCAGGCCAGCAUCAGUUUGCCCCGGGGGACAAAGGCGGUGGGAAUGUGGCUCUCUCCGGGGAGUGUUAUAGCCCGCCGUGUAAUGCCCUGGGGCGGACUGAGGAACGCGCUUCGGCUCGGAUGCUGGCGUAAUGGUCAUCAAUGACC